GGUGCUUGCACCUUUCAAGCGAGUGGCGAACGGGUGAGUAACACGUGGAUAACCUGCCUCAAGGCUGGGGAUAACAUUUGGAAACAGAUGCUAAUACCGAAUAAAACUUAGUAUCGCAUGAUAUCAAGUUAAAAGGCGCUACGGCGUCACCUAGAGAUGGAUCCGCGGUGCAUUAGUUAGUUGGUGGGGUAAAGGCUUACCAAGACGAUGAUGCAUAGCCGAGUUGAGAGACUGAUCGGCCACAUUGGGACUGAGACACGGCCCAAACUCCUACGGGAGGCUGCAGUAGGGAAUCUUCCACAAUGGGCGCAAGCCUGAUGGAGCAACGCCGCGUGUGUGAUGAAGGCUUUCGGGUCGUAAAGCACUGUUGUAUGGGAAGAAAUGCUAAAAUAGGGAAUGAUUUUAGUUUGACGGUACCAUACCAGAAAGGGACGGCUAAAUACGUGCCAGCAGCCGCGGUAAUACGUAUGUCCCGAGCGUUAUCCGGAUUUAUUGGGCGUAAAGCGAGCGCAGACGGUUGAUUAAGUCUGAUGUGAAAGCCCGGAGCUCAACUCCGGAAUGGUAUUGGAAACUGGUUAACUUGAGUGUUGUAGAGGUAAGUGGAAUUUCAUG
RNAcentral lists this ribosomal RNA (612 nucleotides) under Leuconostoc sp. RNAcentral describes it as "bacterial SSU rRNA". It matches the Rfam family "Bacterial small subunit ribosomal RNA", at positions 75 to 673 of the family's 1533-position model. Lineage: Bacteria; Bacillati; Bacillota; Bacilli; Lactobacillales; Lactobacillaceae. The record is from RNAcentral.